This 109-nucleotide non-coding RNA is filed under the name bovine gut metagenome. RNAcentral describes it as "yjdF RNA". It matches the Rfam family "azaaromatic riboswitch aptamer (yjdF RNA)", at positions 10 to 87 of the family's 101-position model. The record is from RNAcentral.
UGCAAAGAUAAAAACGCAACGUGCAUCGCAAGAUGUGCCAGAGCCGGUAGGUAGCCCGGCCGUCCUGAUCUUUCAGGGUAAGUAACCUGCCCCUCCGGGUUGUCCGUUC